This 459-nucleotide ribosomal RNA is filed under the name uncultured bacterium. Its description in RNAcentral is "partial 16S ribosomal RNA". It matches the Rfam family "Bacterial small subunit ribosomal RNA", at positions 338 to 795 of the family's 1533-position model. The record is from RNAcentral.
CCUACGGGAGGCAGCAGUGAGGAAUAUUGGUCAAUGGCCGUAAGGCUGAACCAGCCAAGUCGCGUGAAGGAAGAAGGAUCUAUGGUUUGUAAACUUCUUUUAUAGGGGAAUAAAGGUAUCCACGUGUGGAUCUUUGCAUGUACCCUAUGAAUAAGCAUCGGCUAACUCCGUGCCAGCAGCCGCGGUAAUACGGAGGAUGCGAGCGUUAUCCGGAUUUAUUGGGUUUAAAGGGUGCGUAGGCGGAACAUUAAGUCAGCGGUAAAAUCGAGGGGCUCAACCCCUUUAAGCCGUUGAAACUGGUGAUGUUGAGUGGGCGAGAGGUAGGCGGAAUGCGUGGUGUAGCGGUGAAAUGCAUAGAUAGCACGCAGAACUCCGAUGGCGAAGGCAGCAUACCGGAGCCCGACUGACGCUGAGGCACGAAAGUGUGGGGAUCGAACAGGAUUAGAUACCCUGGUAGUC